This 343-nucleotide unclassified non-coding RNA is filed under the name soil metagenome. RNAcentral's name for it is "partial contains 5.8S ribosomal RNA, internal transcribed spacer 2, and large subunit ribosomal RNA". The stretch from base 1 to 120 matches the Rfam family "5.8S ribosomal RNA", at positions 35 to 154 of the family's 154-position model. The record is from RNAcentral.
GAUGAAGAACGUAGCGAAAUGCGAUAAGUAAUGUGAAUUGCAGAAUUCAGUGAAUCAUCGAAUCUUUGAACGCACAUUGCGCCCGCUAGUAUUCUGGCGGGCAUGCCUGUCCGAGCGUCAUUUCAACCCUCAAGCCCCCGGGCUUGGUGUUGGGGAUCGGCGAGCCUCCGCGCCCGCCGUCCCCUAAAUCUAGUGGCGGUCUCGCUGUAGCUUCCUCUGCGUAGUAGCACACCUCGCACUGGGAAACAGCGCGGCCACGCCGUUAAACCCCCAACUUCUGAACGUUUGACCUCGGAUCAGGUAGGAAUACCCGCUCAACUUAAGCAUAUCAAUAAGCGGAGGA